RNAcentral lists this ribosomal RNA (441 nucleotides) under uncultured bacterium. RNAcentral's name for it is "partial 16S ribosomal RNA". It matches the Rfam family "Bacterial small subunit ribosomal RNA", at positions 338 to 795 of the family's 1533-position model. The record is from RNAcentral.
CCUACGGGAGGCAGCAGUGGGGAAUAUUGCACAAUGGGGGAAACCCUGAUGCAGCAACGCCGCGUGAGUGAAGAAGGAUUUCGGUAUGUAAAGCUCUAUCAGUAGGGAAGAAGAAAGAGGGUACCUGACAAAGAAGCCCCGGCUAACUACGUGCCAGAAGCCGCGGUAAUACGAAGGGGGCAAGCGUUAUCCGGAUUGCCUGGGGGUAAAGGGAGCGUAGAGGGGUGGGCAAGUCUGAAGUGAAAGCCCGUGGCUCAACCGCGGAACUGCUUUUGAAACUGUAUUGCUUGAGUACUGGAGAGGCAGGCGGAAUUCUUGGUGUAGCGGUGAAAUGCGUAGAUAUUAGGAGGAACACCAGUUGCGAAGGCGGCCUGCUGGACAGAAACUGACGUUGAUGCUCGAAAGCGUGGGGAGCAAACAGGAUUAGAUACCCGAGUAGUC